GAAGAUACAGAGAAAAGGAGAGAAAUGCGAGAGAGGAGAAGAAAAGUUUUAAAGAAUAUAUGCUGUAACAUAAACACCUGCUAACACCCACCAUGUUGAGGGAUGGGGAAUUACAAGUCCAGACCAACAAUCUCUUGUGCAGAUGAACUUAAAAAGAAAAUAAGUGAAAGUUACUCAAUAUUCAGAUCAAAAAUCAUUGAAGAACUUCGUCCAAAUGAAAAGGAUUGGACAGAAUUACAGUUAGCAUGUGGGAGAGGAGACUGCACCACUGUAGCUGACUUGCUGACUGAUGAGAAUAUAGAGGAAAGAACAGAUACUGGGUUAACACUCCUUCACAUAGCUUGUAUAUUUGGGGGAAGUAAAAGUCUGAUAGAUUUACUGCUGAAGAAAAACGUGAAAUCCUCAGUGCUCAGUAAGAACCAGUUUUCUGCACUACAUUUAGCUACAUACAAGGGAGAUACAGAAUGCGUUCAGAACUUGCUGGACAGUGAGGAUGUAGAUGUAAAUUUGGCAGGAAACAGUGGCACCUUCCCAUUACACAUAGCAGCUAAGUGUGGUCAUGCUGAGAUAACCAGUGCUUUGUUGGAAAAUGGAGCAAAGGUCAAUGCUGAGGAUGCAGUAAAGUUCUCACCACUGCAUGUAGCCUGCAACUUUGGUCAUGAGCGGGUGGUGGAGCUGCUGAUCUCACACGGGGCUGAUGUAAACAUUUCAGGGGGAGUGGGUGACAGGCCUCUACACUUGGCCUGUGCCAAGGGUCACCUCCACAUCACUAAGCUGCUAGUCCAGGGCACUUCCCAACAAAAGGCCGAUGUAAAUGUUACAGACGACGAGCAGCACCGACCGAUCCACUUCUGCUGUAAGUCAGGGCACCUGCCUGUCCUGUACUACUUACUGGAAAACAAGGCAGAGCCACAUGCCCAGAACAUCUAUGGAGACACCCCUCUUCAUUUGGCAUGUUACAAUGCCAAGGUGGAGGUGGUCAAGCAGUUAGUAUUACUGACCAGUGCUGAGAGUCUGACUGUUGAAAACAUAUUCAGUGAGUUCCCAAUACACAGUGCCUGUACCAGUGGUCGCAGCCUGGAACUGAUCAAGUAUCUGUUGGAGCAGCCCAGUGUCAACAUCAACCAGCAGGGGCGAGAUGGACAUACAGCAUUGCACAGUGCCUGUAACCAUGGUCACAUCCGUGUUGUCCAGUUCCUACUGGAGUGUCGUGCUGACAUGAACCUUGUGUCCACCAUGACUGACCAGAACUCGGGAAGUGAGAAGGUGGAGGAACAGACAGCACUCAUGUGGGCUUAUGAACAAGGACAUGAUGACAUAGUGACACUUCUGAAGCACCAUAAACGGCCCCAGGAUGAGUCAGCCUGUGGGGACUACUCCCAGCCAGGUCAAGAGGGGUCAUACGUAUCCGUCCCCUCCCCUCUGGGUAAACUUAAAAGUAUAACACGAGAGAAAAUAGAUGUGCUACAGCUGAGAUCCACUUUACCUCGUCACUACCACUUAAAUAUCAGCGACCUUGACUUUGAGGAGGUCAUUGGCAGUGGAUCAUUUGGCAAGGUGUACAAAGGGCGCUAUGAUGGCAAAGUGGUGGCCAUCAAAAGAUAUAGAGCAAACUCGUUUGGUGCCAAAUCUGAUGUUGACAUGUUCUGUAGAGAGGUGGCCAUUCUGUCCAAGUUAAACAGCCCCUAUGUGAUCAGCUUUGUAGGGGCAUGCCUAGAUGAUCCCAGUCAAUUUGCCAUCGUUACUCAGUUUGUGUCUGGUGGUUCCCUCUUCAGUAUACUUCAUGAACAAAAAAGAGUUAUAGAUCUGCAUUCCAAACUGACAAUAGCCGUGGAUAUUGCUAAGGGAAUGGCCUACCUACACACGCUGCCUCAACCAAUCAUACAUCGUGACCUCAACAGCCACAACGUUUUACUGGACGAGAACGGACAUGCACUAGUGGCAGACUUCGGAGAAUCCAGAUUUCUACGAUCUUUGGAGGACAACAUGACUAAACAACCUGGUAAUCUGCGCUGGAUGGCGCCCGAGAUAUUUACACAGUGUACCAAGUACAGCAUCAAGGCAGACAUGUUCAGCUACUCCCUUUGUCUUUGGGAACUACUGGCCGGGGAACUUCCAUUUGGUCACCUCAAACCUGCUGCUGCAGCAGCCGAGAUGGCCUACCACAACACACGUCCACCAAUAGCAGUGACCUUCCCUAAAGCACUAGUAGCCAUCCUCCAGCGCGGCUGGAAUGCCUCGGCAGAGGAUAGGCCCGAAUUUAAAGAAAUUGUGAUUAUUCUGGAGGAGUGUAAACAGUCCCAAGGCGUCGGGCUCCUCACCAACUCUCAAAUCAGUGUCUCCCUCGUGUCCCGACUCUCACCAAUCAGAGACGAAGAGGAAGGAGAGGAAGGUCGUGACACCCCACCCCUGGCUGGUCAUGUGACAGCACUCAGGACACACUGGGAACUUGAGGCCACAAGACACAGUGCUGUUCCAGAUGACGAGCUCAGACGUCGCCUUCAGUAUCCACAGAUAGACAAGAAUGGUUAUGUGUCAGACCCCCUGAGUACACUACAGAUCCCAGUGACUAUUGCCCCACCAGCAGACCCGCUGCCCAAACUGGAGGUGGACUCUCCCUUUACACAACCUGUGGUCAACAACCUCAGUAAUGGCUUCCGGUCACAGUCCCCAGCCAGCAGUUCAUCCUCCCUUACUGACAUCACUUCCUGACCCACUGGGCAUGCCGAGAACUCUCACCAUUGUGGGAAAUAGUCAGCAUUUCAUCAAACAAGGCAAUGACUUACAGAUGACCUUGCAACAGAGGUCAAAUGAAAAGGUGGUUUUAACUGUGUGUGAAUUCUGAGGUUAAAUCCACAUAAAUUAUCUAAACUAUGAACAUCUAGCAAUGAUCACAACCAUGUCAGGUUGUACUAGUGGGUGAACUUUCAACAGACUACAUCAUAGAAUUGUAUUUUGAUGAUGUGACUUUUCCGUCCAGAGAAUAUAAAAUUAAUGUAAUUUGAAUUAAUUUUAAAAAUGUUCAUCCUGACCUGUACUCAUCAUGACCCUGUCUGGUUGUUGUUUCAGUGAUCAACUUUGAUCCUUGUACAGAUGUGUGAUUCAGCUAUCUUUGAAACUCAGACAUUUUUACUGAAUUUUUAGGCAAAUCGUGUCCAAUUAUUUAUACUUGUUUUCAUUGAUGUCAUCAUGACCCUGUGUUGUUGUUGUGUCUGUCCCCAGAUGUUCUACAGUCUAUAGUGUGUCAUAAUGUAUUACAUGUUAAUAUCACAUUUUGGUGCUUAUUAGUCCCCCACUGCUUCGGGGGGGUGGGGGGUCUGCACUCGUCUCUGUCCAAAGAGUUUCUCCAGGGCACUCUAUAUUAUUUCACCUUGAGUAAACAGAUUUGGUAUUGGUAUGCGAGUACAUCAUGGCUUGUUAGAGUGUCAAGUACAAAAACCAGUUUGUCCCGACCAUAUUUUCUAUACUAUUACACCUUAAGUAACCAGAUUUGGUAUUUUAACUAGCAUUACUAGGUUUGGUAAAGGGGUAUGUCUUGGCUGGUGGAGUGUGUAGCACAAGAAGUGUGUUACUGUGAACUACAUCCUGAGAUAGGUAUACAGCUCGGGGUAUGUCUUGGCUGGUGGAGUGUGGAGUACAAGAAGUGUGUUACUUUGAACUACAUCCUGAGAUAGGUGUACAGCUCGGGGUAUGUCUUAACUGGUGGAGUGUGGAGUACAAGAAGUGUGUUACUGUGAACUACAUCCUGAGAUAGGUAUACAGCUCGGGGUAUGUCUUGGCUGGUGGAGUGUGGAGUACAAGAAGUGUGUUACUGUGAACUACAUCCUGAGAUAGGUGUACAGCUCGGGGUAUGUCUUGGCUGGUGGAGUGUGGAGUACAAGAAGUGUGUUACUGUGAACUACAUCCUGAGAUAGGUAUACAGCUCGGGGUAUGUCUUGGCUGGUGGAGUGUGGAGUACAAGAAGUGUGUUACUGUGAACUACAUCCUGAGAUAGGUAUACAGCUCGGGGUAUGUCUUGGCUGGUGGAGUGUGGAGUACAAGAAGUGUGUUACUGUGAACUACAUCCUGAGAUAGGUAUACAGCUCGGGGUAUGUCUUGGCUGGUGGAGUGUGGAGUACAAGAAGUGUGUUACUGUGAACUACAUCCUGAGAUAGGUGUACAGCUCGGGGUAUGUCUUGGCUGGUGGAGUGUGGAGUACAAGAAGUGUGUUACUGUGAACUACAUCCUGAGAUAGGUAUACAGCUCGGGGUAUGUCUUGGCUGGUGGAGUGUGGAGUACAAGAAGUGUGUUACUGUGAACUACAUCCUGAGAUAGGUAUACAGCUCGGGGUAUGUCUUGGCUGGUGGAGUGUGGAGUACAAGAAGUGUGUUACUGUGAACUACAUCCUGAGAUAGGUGUACAGCUCGGGUACAAGAAGUGUGUUACUGUGAACUACAUCCUGAGAUAGGUGUACAGCUCGGGGUAUGUCUUGGCUGGUGGAGUGUGGAGUACAAGAAGUGUGUUACUGUGAACUACAUCCUGAGAUAGGUAUACAGCUCGGGGUAUGUCUUGGCUGGUGGAGUGUGGAGUACAAGAAGUGUGUUACUGUGAACUACAUCCUGAGAUAGGUAUACAGCUCGGGGUAUGUCUUGGCUGGUGGAGUGUGGAGUACAAGAAGUGUGUUACUGUGAACUACAUCCUGAGAUAGGUAUACAGCUCGGGGUAUGUCUUGGCUGGUGGAGUGUGGAGUACAAGAAGUGUGUUACUGUGAACUACAUCCUGAGAUAGGUAUACAGCUCGGGGUAUGUCUUGGCUGGUGGAGUGUGGAGUACAAGAAGUGUGUUACUGUGAACUACAUCCUGAGAUAGGUAUACAGCUCGGGGUAUGUCUUGGCUGGUGGAGUGUGGAGUACAAGAAGUGUGUUACUGUGAACUACAUCCUGAGAUAGGUAUACAGCUCGGGGUAUGUCUUGGCUGGUGGAGUGUGGAGUACAAGAAGUGUGUUACUGUGAACUACAUCCUGAGAUAGGUAUACAGCUCGGGGUAUGUCUUGGCUGGUGGAGUGUGGAGUACAAGAAGUGUGUUACUGUGAACUACAUCCUGAGAUAGGUAUACAGCUCGGGGUAUGUCUUGGCUGGUGGAGUGUGGAGUACAAGAAGUGUGUUACUGUGAACUACAUCCUGAGAUAGGUGUACAGCUCGGGGUAUGUCUUGGCUGGUGGAGUGUGGAGUACAAGAAGUGUGUUACUGUGAACUACAUCCUGAGAUAGGUAUACAGCUCGGGGUAUGUCUUGGCUGGUGGAGUGUGGAGUACAAGAAGUGUGUUACUGUGAACUACAUCCUGAGAUAGGUGUACAGCUCGGGGUAUGUCUUGGCUGGUGGAGUAUGGAGUACAAGAAGUGUGUUACUUUGAACUACAUCCUGAGAUAGGUGUACAGCUCGGUCAAUAUAGAAAUCAUCACUGGUGGGGGACUAUGGAUUGCAGCCUUCAAUACUUUGCCUUGGUUGUGAUGUACUUACAUCAUCAUCUUUUAAUCUGUCAUCUUCAUGUUCUUGUGCCUUGAUUACCUGCCUAUGUGAAUUUAAAAAAUUAAUACAAUAUUUUUUCGACAGGAUUUAGGGCUUAUUUUCCAUACAUUUAUAUUUUCGCCAAGCUUUUGUAAAGGUAGUUCCAAUCAAAAUGUUUCCUGUGCAUCAAAUAGGAUAUUAUUUUUGUAUUAACACAAAGUUAGCUUGUAACAAUAUACAAAGGUUCAGCAAUGCAAUACAUUUAUGUCUUUACUUCCCAAUCGUUUAUCCUUGGAAACCUUGGUGAAAUACUUGAAUAAAUAACAUGUCAAUUAGAAUAUUGUAAUUGCAGGGCUUGCCAAUUGACCGGACUCCACUGUACUGAGAUAUAGAUUGUACUGUAAUCUUUCAUUCAAUAUUUAUGUUAUUAACGGUUAGUUGUCGAGUAAAAAUGUUUUUACAAAUCCAGGGAAUGGUUUCAGCACAUCUUUGUAACUGUUUAUACCACAUAUACAAUACUGAUGUGGUGUAGCCUGACCCUCUGGGUGGAUGUGAUGUUGGACAUUUAUAAAUACCAGGUCUGAAGCUGUCUAUUAAAUGUACAGUAAAACCUGACAUUAAAGACAUGUUGUGACAAUCUUAAGUGUGAUGGCAGUGAGUAAUAAUUGAUAUCUCGAUGGCGUGAGAGUGUGUGUCGUCUGUUACAUAAGUAAGGCACAGUGCAAUAUAUUUAAUAGGAUAUUUGUGGAUAUCUGUUCAUUUACAAUAUUACAUUAAAAUUUUAUAGAGCAACAAAUAAUGUCAGUUUUGGUUUCAUAUCUUUUUAAAAAUGUCUUUGUACUUUUUAUAUUAAGCCUGAAAAAAUCAGGUGAACACUAUGUGGUCAGUGAGGUGAUGACUUUACCAUGGACGUAAAGCCUGUCUAUAGAGGCAUUCUAAAUCAUUGUAUGUAUUAUGUAUACCACAAAUAAUUAAACCUUAAGCUUGCUAAAACACUUAGAACUUCCUAAGCCAUGCUGAUUGGUAGGGAUAACACUGGUCACAGAUGUGGUGACCUGAUAUAACAGUUACUGGUUAUAGGUAGGGAUAACACUGGUCGCAGAUGUGGUGACCUGAUGUAACAGUUACUGAUUAUAGGUAGGGAUAACACUGGUCACGGAUGUGGUGACCUGAUAUAACAGUUACUGAUUAUAGGUAGGGAUAACACUGGUCCCAGAUGUGGUGACCUGAUAUAACAGUUACUGGUUAUAGGUAGGGAUAACACUGGUCACAGAUGUGUUGACCUGAUAUAACAGUUACUGAUUAUAGGUAGGGAUAACACUGGUCCCAGAUGUGGUGACCUGAUAUAACAGUUACUGGUUAUAGGUAGGGAUAACACUGGUCACAGAUGUGGUUACCUGAUAUAACAGUUACUGAUUAUAGGUAGGGAUAACACUGGUCCCAGAUGUGGUGACCUGAUAUAACAGUUACUGGUUAUAGGUAGGGAUAACACUGGUCGCAGAUGUGGUGACCUGAUGUAACAGUUACUGAUUAUAGGUAGGGAUAACACUGGUCCCAGAUGUGGUGACCUGAUAUAACAGUUACUGGUUAUAGGUAGGGAUAACACUGGUCGCAGAUGUGGUGACCUGAUAUAACAGUUCCUGAUUAUAGGUAGGGAUAACACUGGUCCCAGAUGUGGUGACCUGAUAUAACAGUUACUGGUUAUAGGUAGGGAUAACACUGGUCACAGAUGUGUUGACCUGAUAUAACAGUUCCUUAUUAUAGGUAGGGAUAACACUGGUCACAGAUGUAGUGACCUGAUAUAACAGUUCCUGAUUAUAGGUAGGGAUAACACUGGUCACAGAUGUGUUGACCUGAUAUAACAGUUCCUUAUUAUAGGUAGGGAUAACACUGGUCACAGAUGUGUUGACCUGAUAUAACAGUUCCUUAUUAUAGGUAGGGAUAACACUGGUCACAGAUGUGGUGACCUCAUAUAACAGUUACUGAUUAUAGGUAGGGAUAACACUGGUCCCAGAUGUGGUGACCUGAUAUAACAGUUACUGGUUAUAGGUAGGGAUAACACUGGUCACAGAUGUGGUUACCUGAUAUAACAGUUACUGAUUAUAGGUAGGGAUAAAACUGGUCACAGAUGUGGUGACCUGAUGUAACAGUUACUGAUUAUAGGUAGGGAUAACACUGGUCCCAGAUGUGGUGACCUGAUAUAACAGUUACUGGUUAUAGGUAGGGAUAACACUGGUCACAGAUGUGGUGACCUGAUAUAACAGUUACUGAUAUAUCUGAGACAAUUGCUGACAUUUUGAUAUAACUUGUGAUAAGCCUUUUCGUACCUUUUAACAGACUCUUUAUUAGGGCUAGACUCCAGUCUCUCUGAUACAGCAACCGAGGUCUGGGGUUUGUUAUAUUACUGUAUUCUGUAAGUAUUUAUGGUCUUUCAUUCUAUAUUUUGAAAUGCAAGAGACUUGGACAGUAGAUGAUGUUUUACAUUUUUACAUUAGAUACAACAUGAAAUAUUAGUUACCAAUAUUUCUGCAUUUUGUUACAAAUAUAAUAAACUGUAUUCACAAUAAAAGUGGAGUUUUUUUCCAAAUCAAUGUA
Molecule: unclassified non-coding RNA, 8080 nt
Filed under: Mizuhopecten yessoensis (Yesso scallop)
Lineage: Eukaryota; Metazoa; Mollusca; Bivalvia; Pectinida; Pectinidae
Description: serine/threonine-protein kinase TNNI3K-like, transcript variant X5
Source: RNAcentral